This is a long non-coding RNA of Thunnus maccoyii (southern bluefin tuna), 354 nucleotides long. RefSeq lists it as uncharacterized. The transcript has 2 exons. The record is from RefSeq and is a predicted model, not a curated record. Lineage: Eukaryota; Metazoa; Chordata; Actinopteri; Scombriformes; Scombridae.
CUGUUGCCACUUCCCCGGUGACUCUCUACCUCUCUCUCUAUCUAUCAUCCAUGUGUGUGAUUGUGUGAGUGGAGACAGGUGUGCUGCAGUCGGAGCAGAGCCCCACCAGCUGCAUCCAGUUCCAUAAUCAAGACCUCUACUCAUACUCAGCCCUUCCAAAUUGUAGCCUCUGCACCAUCCCUUCUGCUCCGUCUCCCGUCCCCCGUCUGCUGUCCCUCGUCUCGUCAGCCCCGUUUCCACUGAUUCUGCUCCAGAGCUGCUCUCCUUUCCCCCAGCCUGCAUCAGCCCCAGUUUUUUCCCAGCUACCACUAUUAGUUUCCCCUGGCCUGCUUUAAUAAACACCUUGUCCUACAA